This 447-nucleotide ribosomal RNA is filed under the name uncultured bacterium. RNAcentral's name for it is "partial 16S ribosomal RNA". It matches the Rfam family "Bacterial small subunit ribosomal RNA", at positions 29 to 523 of the family's 1533-position model. The record is from RNAcentral.
AACGAACGCUGGCGGCAGGCUUAACACAUGCAAGUCGAACGCCCCGCAAGGGGAGUGGCGCACGGGUGAGUAACGCGUGGGAAUAUGCCCUUCGGUUCGGAAUAACACAGGGAAACUUGUGCUAAUACCGGAUACGAUCUACGGAUGAAAGAUUUAUCGCCGAGGGAGUAGCCCGCGUAGGAUUAGCUAGUUGGUGAGGUAAUGGCUCACCAAGGCGACGAUCCUUAGCUGGUCUGAGAGGAUGAUCAGCCACACUGGGACUGAGACACGGCCCAGACUCCUACGGGAGGCAGCAGUGGGGAAUAUUGGACAAUGGGGGGAACCCUGAUCCAGCCAUGCCGCGUGAGUGAUGAAGGCCUUAGGGUUGUAAAGCUCUUUCGCCAGGGAAGAUAAUGACGGUACCUGGAAAAGAAGCCUCGGCUAACUCCGUGCCAGCCGCCGCCGUAA